CAGGUUACUAUCUCAGUGGGAAAAGAGGCAUGAUGGGAAGAAGAAGGCUGUCCUUUAGUGGGAGAAGCCAUAUUUUGUGGUGAGAAGCAACGCCUUAUGGGAAGGGGAAGGCUAUUCUUUUUGUGUAGCUGCCAUCUUAAGUGACAGGUGUGGAUAUGUGUCAUCAGCAGUGGCAAAAGUAGAAAGCCCCAGGUUCUGGCUCAGCAGAUGUGGUCUGGAAGAGGCAGCUAAAAGGCCAAUUGACCCCAAUCCACAGGAAAUCAUCACUUAAUGGACCUCUUUCCUCCCAGGUCUCAGCACCAGAUAUGUCAGGUAAAAAAGAGCCAAAAACCAAGACCAGACCAGGACCACAACAAGCCUUUAUUAUGGGGAGGAUUUGCCAGGCUCUCUCUGAAUAAAGGAGAGAGAGAAAUAUGGCAAGACAGGGAACACUUCUUAUAGGACUGGGGUGGGGUUUAAAGGAGCUGGGGUGGGAUUGAGUGAUAUUGUGGCUGGGGAUUGGGGGAGCUUGUGACUUCACUAAGAGGGGCUUGUGUUAUCACUAGUCACCAGGAGGUAGCAAGUACUUUCUUGGGAAAAGAGACAUGAUGGGAAGAAGGCUGUCCUUUAGUGGGAGAAGCUAUAUUUUUAGAUGAGAAGCAGGGCAUUGUGGGAAAGGGAAGACUAUUCUUUUUAUGUAGCUGCCAUCUUAAGAAAAUCCUCAUGUUUGUUCAGAGCUGCAGCAGUGUCCGGAGCUGCCAUUUCAUUCUUGGGGGAUGAGAAAAGUUGUGCCUUCACACCCAGCUGCUGUGGGUCAAAUGUCACUUCCCUGGGUUAUUAGCCGAGCAAGAGUUGCUCCAAGUAUGGUUUACUUCAGCAGUUUUCAGUAAUUACUCACUUUGUUUCCUUCAGCCCCUUCUCUCAUCUCAAUGCUCUUAAGUCAUCCUCCUACAUUAAAAAACACACUGGAAGUGGGCCUCCCUCUCAGCUAAAUUCUACUCAGCAGGUCUACUGCUUAUCUCUGAGAUCAUCGUUCUGUGACAGCAGCUUGCCACUUUCCAUUCCGAAGAACUCUAACCAAGAUCCUUUAACCCGACUGCUACAUCUAACCCAUCAGACACAUCGAACUAAUGGGAUAGAAUUUGAAUGUACAGUUUUCCCAAGGAGAGCAUCUACACACUGUUAAACGAUCUGUUACUUUACUUAGUAUUUAUAGAAAGUUUCAAGAUGUAAAAUAAAAAACAAAAACAAGAUAGUCUUUGAGCAUAAACAACCACAGCACUAAUAGUGACAGUGUGACAGCAGCCCUGUGAUUCCUGGCUUCUUCCACACACAGACUGAAGCAGAAAGGGGUUGCAAAGAAAGUGCCUCACCUGUGUCAUGAGUCCCAUCAAAGUGCAGACCAAGUAGGCCUCACAGGCAGCUUGUUUCAUAAAGUGCAUGGUCUCCUAUAAAGGAUGUCAGGCAAAUUGAAUCACAUCUGGGAAAAAGAAUUAAAAUUGAAAUUAGCUUCUGACAUCCAAACUGAAUAUGAAAUAUGGUUGAGGCAACAACUUUGCUGAUUUCAAUUGCAUCUCAGUCACAGACAUCUUUGCUGAUAAUAUCUGAUCUGUUGCAGAUAACACUUGUCUCUACCCUACAAGAUCUUACUUUUGUGUCACUUUCCACUAAGACUGGAUAAACUUUUCAUGAGACAAUAAAUGCAGGGCUCCUUGGAUGCUGGAAAUAUUCCAGUCCAAGCCUGAGGACUCAGCUGUAUUAUUAAAAUGGUAUCCUAUUACAGUUUUCUCUAUACACUCAUUUCUUAAAGUUAAUCUUAUUUUAAUUAUUUAGUUAAUGUGUUGUUGAAGAUGGAAUCCAAGCCUCUUAUGCAUGGUAGGCAAACACUAGCCCACUGAACCACACCCA
Fukomys damarensis (Damara mole-rat) is the source of this 1887-nucleotide long non-coding RNA. Lineage: Eukaryota; Metazoa; Chordata; Mammalia; Rodentia; Bathyergidae. The record is from Ensembl.